UACGGAAGGCAGCAGUGGGGAAUAUUGCACAAUGGGCGAAAGCCUGAUGCAGCUAUGCCGCGUGUAUGAAGAAGGCCUUAGGGUUGUAAAGUACUUUCAUCGGGGAGGAAAAACAAAACUAAUAAUUUUAUUUCUUGACGUUACCCGAAAAAGAAGCACCGGCUAACUCCGUGCCAGCAGCCGCGGUAAUACGGAGGGUGCUAGCGUUAAUCAGAAUUACUGGGCGUAAAGAGCACGUAGGUGGUUUUUUUAAAGUCAGAUGUGAAAUCCCCUGGGCUUUAACCUAGGAACUGCAUUUUGAAACUGAAAUACUAGAGUAUCGUAGAGGGAGGUAGAAUUCUAGGUGUAGCGGUGAAAUGCGUAGAUAUCUGGAGGAAUACCUGUGGCGAAAGCGGCCUCCUAAACGAAUACUGACACUGAGGUGCGAAAGCGUGGGGAGCAAACAGGGAUUAGAUACC
RNAcentral lists this ribosomal RNA (458 nucleotides) under uncultured bacterium. Its description in RNAcentral is "bacterial SSU rRNA". It matches the Rfam family "Bacterial small subunit ribosomal RNA", at positions 340 to 786 of the family's 1533-position model. The record is from RNAcentral.